GGGGCCGACUGGUUUUGACAGCGAGACCAAUGGUGAUGUAAGCAUGCCGAGCGCUGGGAUACAGCUCGUUAAUCUCAUAUUUCACACUUUUAAUUGGCGAUAAUAACUACGCUCUUGCCGCUUAAUCUGAAUUAUAGUAGGAUUUAGCCUCGUCUCCGCAAGGCGGAGAAGCGAGAUGUCCCUGGAUAGCCCUUGUUGACGGCGAUCCAUUCAGGGGCACCAUAAAAGUCAACACAAGGCCGUUAGCGCUUCGAUAGCGGCACCAAAACGUAAGAAGCUAAGCGUUCGUUAGGCCGUUUCCGGUCAGGCGUGCGUCGAAAACCAAACGGAAACUAAGCAUGUAGAAAGCAUUUUCGUUGCUUGUUUGGACGAGGGUUCGAAUCCCUCCGGCUCCACUU
This 398-nucleotide transfer-messenger RNA is filed under the name Pelagihabitans pacificus. RNAcentral's name for it is "Standard tmRNA". It matches the Rfam family "transfer-messenger RNA". Rfam says of the family: Bacterial tmRNA, also known as 10Sa RNA or SsrA, is named for its dual tRNA and mRNA-like properties. Its role is to liberate the mRNA from a stalled ribosome. Lineage: Bacteria; Pseudomonadati; Bacteroidota; Flavobacteriia; Flavobacteriales; Flavobacteriaceae. The record is from Rfam by way of RNAcentral.